GACGGAGGGGGCGAGCGUUGUCCGGAAUUACUGGGCGUAAAGAGCACGUAGGUGGACCAUUAAGUCAGGUGUGAAAGACCGGGGCUCAACUCCGGAGUUGCACUUGAAACUGGUGGUCUUGAGGGCAGGAGAGGAAAGUAGAAUUCCUGGUGUAGCGGUGAAAUGCGUAGAGAUCAGGAGGAAUACCAGUGGCGAAGGCGGCUUUCUGGACUGUCCCUGACACUGAGGUGCGAAAGCGUGGGGAGCAAACAGG
Molecule: ribosomal RNA, 253 nt
Filed under: uncultured prokaryote
Description: partial 16S ribosomal RNA
Rfam family: Bacterial small subunit ribosomal RNA
Source: RNAcentral